AGAUUGAACGCUGGCGGCAGGCCUAACACAUGCAAGUCGAGCGGUAGAGAGGUGCUUGCACCUCUUGAGAGCGGCGGACGGGUGAGUAAGGCCUAGGAAUCUGCCUGGUAGUGGGGGAUAACGCUCGGAAACGGACGCUAAUACCGCAUACGUCCUACGGGAGAAAGCAGGGGACCUUCGGGCCUUGCGCUGUCAGAUGAGCCUAGGUCGGAUUAGCUAGUUGGUGAGGUAAUGGCUCACCAAGGCGACGAUCCGUAACUGGUCUGAGAGGAUGAUCAGUCACACUGGAACUGAGACACGGUCCAGACUCCUACGGGAGGCAGCAGUGGGAAUAUGGACAGUGGGCAAAGCCUGAUCCAGCCAUGCCGCGUGUGUGAAGAAGGUCUUCGGAUUGUAAAGCACUUUAAGUGGAGAAGGCAAUAACCUAAUACGUUAGUGUUUGACGUUACGACUAGAAUAAGCACCGGCUAACUCUGU
RNAcentral lists this ribosomal RNA (477 nucleotides) under uncultured soil bacterium. RNAcentral's name for it is "bacterial SSU rRNA". It matches the Rfam family "Bacterial small subunit ribosomal RNA", at positions 26 to 506 of the family's 1533-position model. The record is from RNAcentral.